AUUGAACGCUGGCGGCAGGCCUAACACAUGCAAGUCGGGCGGAUGAAGGGAGCUUGCUCCUGGAUUCAGCGGCGGACGGGUGAGUAAUGCCUAGGAAUCUGCCUGGUAGUGGGGAUAACGUCCGGAAACGGGCGCUAAUACCGCAUACGUCCUGAGGGAGAAAGUGGGGGAUCUUCGGACCUCACGCUAUCAGAUGAGCCUAGGUCGGAUUAGCUAGUUGGUGGGGUAAAGGCCUACCAAGGCGACGAUCCGUAACUGGUCUGUGAGGAUGAUCAGUCACACUGGAACUGAGACACGGUCCAGACUCCUACGGGAGGCAGCAGUGGGGAAUAUUUGACAAUGGGCGAAAGCCUGAUCCAGCCAUGCCGCGUGUGUGAAGAAGGUCUUCGGAUUGUAAAGCACUUUAAGUUGGGAGGAAGGGCAGUAAGUUAAUACCUUGCUGUUUUGACGUUACCAACAGAAUAAGCACCGGCUAACUUCGUG
This 483-nucleotide ribosomal RNA is filed under the name uncultured bacterium. RNAcentral's name for it is "partial 16S ribosomal RNA". It matches the Rfam family "Bacterial small subunit ribosomal RNA", at positions 30 to 507 of the family's 1533-position model. The record is from RNAcentral.